AUUGAACGCUGGCGGCAGGCCUAACACAUGCAAGUCGAGCGAGCGGCGGACGGGUGAGUAAUGUAUGGGGACUGCCCGAUAGAGGGGGCUAACUCCUAGAAACGGUAGCUAAUACCGCAUACUAUCGGAUAACCCAUAUGGGAUUAGCUAGUAGGUGAGGUAAUGGCUCACCUAGGCGACGAUCCAUAGCUGGUCUGAGAGGAUGAUCAGCCACACUGGGACUGAGACACGGCCCCGACUCCUACGGAGGCAGCAUUGGGGAAUAUUGCACAAUGGGCGCAAGCCUGAUGCAGCCAUGCCGCGUGUAUGAAGAAGGUGCUAGGGUUGUAAAGUACUUUCAGUCGGGAGGCGUUACCGACAGAAGAAGCACCGGCUAACUCCGUGCCAGCAGCCGCGGUAAUAC
This 403-nucleotide ribosomal RNA is filed under the name uncultured bacterium. Its description in RNAcentral is "partial 16S ribosomal RNA". It matches the Rfam family "Bacterial small subunit ribosomal RNA", at positions 30 to 526 of the family's 1533-position model. The record is from RNAcentral.